This 641-nucleotide ribosomal RNA is filed under the name Kribbella sp. I12A-02607. RNAcentral describes it as "bacterial SSU rRNA". It matches the Rfam family "Bacterial small subunit ribosomal RNA", at positions 95 to 750 of the family's 1533-position model. Lineage: Bacteria; Bacillati; Actinomycetota; Actinomycetes; Propionibacteriales; Kribbellaceae. The record is from RNAcentral.
GCGGCGAACGGGUGAGUAACACGUGAGUAACCUGCCCCCAACUUUGGGAUAAGCCUCGGAAACGGGGUCUAAUACCGGAUAAUACCUUCCGCUUCAUGGUGGUUGGUUGAAAGUUCUGGCGGUUGGGGAUGGGCUCGCGGCCUAUCAGCUUGUUGGUGGGGUGAUGGCCUACCAAGGCUUCGACGGGUAGCCGGCCUGAGAGGGCGACCGGCCACACUGGGACUGAGACACGGCCCAGACUCCUACGGGAGGCAGCAGUGGGGAAUAUUGCGCAAUGGACGAAAGUCUGACGCAGCAACGCCGCGUGAGGGAUGACGGCCUUCGGGUUGUAAACCUCUUUCAGCAGGGACGAAGCGAGAGUGACGGUACCUGCAGAAGAAGGACCGGCCAACUACGUGCCAGCAGCCGCGGUAAUACGUAGGGUCCGAGCGUUGUCCGGAAUUAUUGGGCGUAAAGGGCUCGUAGGCGGUUCGUCGCGUCGGGAGUGAAAACUCGGAGCUUAACUCCGAGCCUGCUUCCGAUACGGGCGGACUAGAGGUAGGCAGGGGAGAGCGGAACUCCUGGUGUAGCGGUGGAAUGCGCAGAUAUCAGGAAGAACACCGGUGGCGAAGGCGGCUCUCUGGGCCUUACCUGACGCUGAG